Molecule: transfer RNA, 66 nt
Filed under: Bemisia tabaci
Lineage: Eukaryota; Metazoa; Arthropoda; Insecta; Hemiptera; Aleyrodidae
Description: tRNA-Leu
Source: RNAcentral
UCUAAUGUGGCAGAAAGUGCAGUAAAUUUAAGAUUUAUAAAAAAGGCUUAUAAUUCUUCUUUAGAA